AGUAACGCGUGGAUAACCUGCCUCACACUGGGGGAUAACAGUUAGAAAUGGCUGCUAAUACCGCAUAAGCGCACAGUACCGCAUGGUACGGUGUGAAAAACCCAGGUGGUGUGAGAUGGAUCCGCGUCUGAUUAGCCAGUUGGCGGGGUAACGGCCCACCAAAGCGACGAUCAGUAGCCGACCUGAGAGGGUGACCGGCCACAUUGGGACUGAGACACGGCCCAA
This 225-nucleotide ribosomal RNA is filed under the name uncultured bacterium. RNAcentral's name for it is "partial 16S ribosomal RNA". It matches the Rfam family "Bacterial small subunit ribosomal RNA", at positions 109 to 334 of the family's 1533-position model. The record is from RNAcentral.